GCCUUCGUGGAUUAAUGGAAAUCACCCUGCGGCAUUGAGGUAGAUAUAAUGAUCCAGUCUCAGGGAGACGGGGUUCGAAUCCCCCCGAAGGCA
Non-coding RNA from Mycena epipterygia, 93 nucleotides. NCBI's taxonomy places the organism in Eukaryota, Fungi, Basidiomycota, Agaricomycetes, Agaricales, Mycenaceae. The record is from the annotation of a GenBank genome assembly.